Non-coding RNA from Trypanosoma cruzi strain CL Brener, 81 nucleotides. The record is from Rfam. NCBI's taxonomy places the organism in Eukaryota, Euglenozoa, Kinetoplastea, Trypanosomatida, Trypanosomatidae.
GCAAACGUGGCCGAGUGGUUAAGGCGCCUGCCUGCUAAGCAGGUGUGAUCUCACGCGUAGGUUCGAACCCUACCGUUUGCG